UAGCGGGUGGGAUUCCCGUCGAGUAAGAACUAGCCAUUCGCUCGUAGCGAGUCUUGGAGGGCUAAAGGUAACUUUAGUCUUUAAGCGUAGACAGUUAGGUGGCGGGCCGAAAGCCAAAUGGUUAAAGGGA
This 130-nucleotide unclassified non-coding RNA is filed under the name Neobacillus massiliamazoniensis. The record is from RNAcentral. Lineage: Bacteria; Bacillati; Bacillota; Bacilli; Caryophanales; Bacillaceae.